This 3565-nucleotide long non-coding RNA is filed under the name Cinara cedri. The record is from RNAcentral. Lineage: Eukaryota; Metazoa; Arthropoda; Insecta; Hemiptera; Aphididae.
AAUGGCGGAACGUUAUCACAACGAUUGUAUAUUAUCAGUUAUCACUAUUCGUCGUAUUUAAAUUUUAAGUCUUCAUCCAGUUGUUAUUAACUAGUGGGUACUGGACUACCGACUAACUUCUUUCUGCUUUGUGUGUUUCAAUGUCUCCCGGUCUAAAAAUAAUAUUUCAAUUUAAUGAGCAGUGGAAGUCUAUUUCGUGGUUGUUCGAUUUCAUAAAUGACGCACUAGUAAGUACUACUUACGUUAUGAUUUUCCGAAUUCAAUAUUAAAACCUUUGUGUCAAUCGCCUACUAAAGAAACACAUUGGUGUCAUUGUCUAGAUUCAAUAUCAAAAUCUAUCACAAUCACUAGUUGCUAUUCAAAUACCCUGGAUUUCACCAGUCAAGGCAAGUUAAUAAUACUUAAUUUAUAUAAAAACUAAAGAUUCAAUUUUACACCAACAGAAAUUCCAGACACGUCUAAGUGCUAUGUGAACUUUCGUAGAUCGGCUCCAAAAGACUGUCUAUUAAAGCGCAGAAGUUUUCAGAUAUCUACAGACCCUACUAAAUAAGCUAUACCAGUUUUCAACACCAAUAGUGACAACUAUGUACAGUUGGCCUGAUAACUGGAUUAAACCUAAUCAGACCUGCAUACUAUUAGCUUGCACGUGGGAUGUACCCAAGACUAAUAGACAACAGUCCACGAUGGGUGUAACCUGAUUUCAUAUUUAUCAACAUUUUUUUAGGCACUGUUUUAAGUUGGACAUAGUAAGUCAACUGGGUGACAACCAAAAUAUAUCAGUCUUUGCACAUUUGGCUUUGUAGUAGAAUUUAACCACAAGACAGGGGAGUUUGUUUAUUUGGAUAUACGAGUGAGUUGCAUUCUUUUGUGGAAUGGAGUAUAAUACACCACUACCAAUAUUAUUUAAGUUAUUAAGUCUUGGAAGAUUCUUAAAUAUUAAUUUAAACAUAAUGGUAUUUAAUUAUACUUGUAAUGAAAAGUUAGUAAACAAACAACAAUGAACUAAAAUUACAGUCCUUCAAAGUUAUAAAACUAAAAGUGAUUAUGUGUUUAUUAUCUGUAGGCUGUUAAAAGAUGGACCAUUUUUUUUUCAAAUGAUAUUUAAGUAAAAUAAAUUUGAUUUACAUACAUAAACUUCAAAAAUAAUAUUUUAUUAACAAUUGAGAAGGAUAAUAUUUUUUUGAAUUUAUAAAUGCAGAAUACUGUUGAUAAAAUUAUGUCUGUUCAAAUUUCUUAACAAUUAUGUUUAUAAUCACCAGAUUAAAUUGCAACUUAUUUGGGAAAAUAAAUAAUGUUAUUGUAUAUUGUUGAACACCACUUUUUAGUUAAUUUGUUGUAUUUUUUUUGAUUUAGAUUUUCUAACCAGAGUAACAUAUAAAGAAGAAUAUCAGAGUUAAUUACGAGUUAUUGGAAUUAUUAAACUUUGUCAUUAUACCUAUACACUGUAAUAUUUUUAAAUUUUGUUAGAGAAUAUUAAAAUUAAUAUAGACAAAUUAAUUAUAGGUUUUAAAUCAAAGUUUACCUACUGCUUAAAAUUGAAAAAUCAUAUGGAUUUAAGAAGAUUAAAUUAGUGGUUCAAACAUGUAAAGCAGAAUUUGAGUAAUUCAAUGAAAAUGAUCUUUAAAUCUCGAAUAAUAGGUAAUCAUAUAUUUUAACUUGGUUAUGAACUAUUUCUAAAAAAAAAAUAAGGAUGUAUGUAAUAAAAUAUAUUUAUAUCUAUUCAAAUUUAAAUAUUUAAUUUUAGUAUUUCAUAACAAGUUUGUAGAACUAAAAAUAUGUAUACAGAGUGUAAAAAUAUUUGAUAUUUUUACAUGUAACUACAAGGUAAAAAUGUCAAAUAGUCCUAUUACUCUCUGUAUAUAUAUAUAUAUAUUUUUUUUUAAUACAUACUUUAUUUUUAAAUAUUUGGUUUAAUUUUAGAUUCUGAGAAAAGCAUAAGAGUUUUUAUGUCUUAUAAACAAUGUGUUUUUUAAAAACACAAGUCAUGUUAUUUAUAAAUAGUAAAUUGAAUACUUAAUAGAUAUUUUUAAAUUUUUAAAUUUGUUAUUUGAAAAUCAUAUGAUUAUUUGAUGAAGGUUUUUUUUGCUCUUUCACUUUAUACCAAGUGUAGGUAAAUCUUUACAAUUCUUCUUUGUCUAUUACUUUUAUUUUAUAUUUUUCUAAAUUCACUUUUGAUUAAAUCACGACACAGGGCACCCUAAAAUUUCAAUGGGUUCUGUGCAAGUGCAUAGCUUGCACUGCUUUCAAGAUAGCCCUGGUUAUAGUAUUGAUUGGUUUCAAAAAAAUAUGUAUACCAAAUAUUUUUAAAUUUUCUAAAUUAUUAUUGAUAAUAAAGCCCAAUAUAUAACAAUAAUUAAUGCUGAUGACUUGUUUUUUUAUUUCUAAUAGUAUAUAUUAACACUCUCUCCUCUUGUAAUUUCCAAAAUAUUUUAUCUAUGAUCGCAUGAUAGUCGUGAUUUUUUAUUACAAGUCUGCUACAGAUAUGAUUGCUAUAAAUCUUAGUAAAUUCUAUAAUGUGGAAGAAUCCAUAGGUUAAUAUAGUGUUACAGUUAUUUACUAUGUGUUUAACUAUAUGUUAGAAGAUAAUUUUUCAUAAACAGAUUUAAUAAAUAUCUUACUGUUUGAAUUAAACUUUUUUUAAAUUUUUUUAGCUGUUACCUAUGUACAUAAUCAACAUUUGUGAAGUGUAAGAAGAAAACUAUAAAAUUUUCUACCAUUCAAAAUUUGCAAGAGAACACGAAUACUGCAUUUACAUAAAUUGUUUCAGACUGUCUUAUGGGUAAUUAACCAAAAUUAUGCCUCGCAAACUACAUUUAGGUUAAAUAUUUCCAAAUAAAAUACUUGCUGAUAUUUAAUUAAGUUUUAUAAAGUAAAUAUUAAAACACUUAACUUACUUAAAAAAGGUUAUGAGUAAAGUUAUCACACUUUUUUCAAUAAUGUUUAUUUUGUAUUUAAUAUUCAAGAAGUAUAUAGUUUGAAUUAUCAAAAAUAAUCUCUGUUGUGUGUUUUAUAUUAGAUUUUGUUUUAUUUCUAUUAAUUCUAUGAUUUAUCACCAUUCCCGAGAUUAAAAUUUCUUGAAACAUUUUAUUAGACACCUGAAUGUAUGGUACCCCUUUAAAUAGUCUGUUAUUUAAAUAUUUAAUGACAUUUGAAUUUCUAAAUUUAACUCAAACACCAAAUAACAUUAUAUUGUGAGUAGUAUUAAAACUCUUGAUGUAUCAAUAAAGUAUUAUGCAAUUUACACAGAAUAUCUUUGGUGUUACAUUUUCUGGUAUAUUGUUUUCAUUAUAAUUUUCAUCAGUAAUUUAGUUAUGUUGUAUUACUGUAAUUAAAUUCCAUUUUACCAUUAAUAAAUGGCCAGGAACCUCUCACAAUGAUAGAAGGGUUUAAAAUAAAUGGAAAGGUCCCUAAAUUGUUUAAUAAAAAUAAUUUACUCAACAUUUUAAAGUAGGUAGUUUUAUACGGAAAAAAAAAUACCUUCAUUUUGCAUGAAGCCUUACAACAAACUAUUGACAGCACUGACUGAGUGGAUUAUUAAAUGUAAUUCCUAUUUAUGCACCGAUAC